ACUAGCCCUGAAAAUGGAUGGCGCUCAAGCGUCGCACCUACACUGUGCCGUCGGGGCAGAGGCCAGGCCCCGACGAGUAGGAGGGCGCGGGGGUCGUGAGGCAGCCUCUGGCGCGAGCCUGGGCGAAACGGCCUCCGGUGCAGAUCUUGGUGGUAGUAGCAAAUAUUCAAAUGAGAGCUUUGAAGACCGAAGUGGAGAAAGGUUCCAUGUGAACAGCAGUUGGACAUGGGUUAGUCGAUCCUAAGAGAUAGGGAAGCUCCGUUUUCAAGCGCCCCAUCGCGGGCCGCCUAUCGAAAGGGAAUCGGGUCAAUAUUCCCGAACCGGAACACGGAUAUCGCCACUCGCUGGCGGGUGCGGCGACGCAAACGAACCCGGAGACGCCGGCGGGGGCCCUGGGAAGAGUUCUCUUUUCUUUUUAACGGACUUUCACCCUGGAAUCAGCUUGCCUGGAGAUAGGGUUCCAUGUCCGGUAAAGCACCACACUUCUUGUGGUGUCCGGUGCGCUCCCGACGGCCCUUGAAAAUCCGGGGGAGACAGUGAUUUUCGUGUCCGGUCGUACUCAUAACCGCAGCAGGUCUCCGAGGUGAGCAGCCUCUGGUUGAUAGAACAAUGUA
RNAcentral lists this ribosomal RNA (614 nucleotides) under Entacmaea quadricolor. RNAcentral's name for it is "partial large subunit ribosomal RNA". It matches the Rfam family "Eukaryotic large subunit ribosomal RNA", at positions 1305 to 1902 of the family's 3401-position model. Lineage: Eukaryota; Metazoa; Cnidaria; Anthozoa; Actiniaria; Actiniidae. The record is from RNAcentral.